GGUGUGGCUCCAACCCCAGACAGCAAAUGCCCCAGACCAGGUGUGGCUCCAACCCUGGAAUCGAUCCCAGACAGUGAAUGUCCCAGGCUCCACGACAGCACCGAGCACCCUGGGACUCCGGCAAUCAGGCGACUGGGACACCUCACAGAAGGGGGACAGCCAUGAUGGAAGGGGGAGGCGCCCACCUGCAGCUUCAGGUCAUGACACGGCACGGAGUGGCAAGGGCCAGGGAAGGCCCUGAGGAUGAGGAUGGGCCUGGACGCUCCCUGAACCACGGCGGGGCAGGGUAGGGAAGGGGGCGCAGAGUCACACAGGCAGUGGGGACGACAGCAGGGCCCAGGCAGCUCAAGGGGCAUGUCGGGUGGGAGGCAGGGACAUGGCGGGUGGGCCAUGGGGGAGGAAAGGACAUGGUGGGUGGGCCACGGGGGAGGAAAGGACAUGGUGGGUGGGCCACGGGGGAGGGAAGGACAUGGUGGGUGGGCCACGGGGGAGGGAAGGACAUGGUAGGCGGGCCGUGGGGGAGGAGGGACACGGCCGGCGGGCCACGGGGGAGGAAGGAUUCUGAGGAGGAGCAGACGGUGCUGGUGGCUGAAGCAGGAGGAUCACUUGAGCCCAGGAGUUUCAGACCAGCCUGAGCCACACAGGGAGGCCC
This 652-nucleotide non-coding RNA is filed under the name Pan troglodytes (chimpanzee). Lineage: Eukaryota; Metazoa; Chordata; Mammalia; Primates; Hominidae. The record is from RNAcentral.